UGCGCAGGCGGAUUUGCCAGUCAGUGGUGAAAUCCCGAGGCUCAACUUCGGAACUGCCAUUGAUACUGCAAGUCUUGAAUUUGGUUGAAGUAGGCGGAAUGUAGCAUGUAGCGGUGAAAUGCAUAGAUAUGCUACAGAACACCGAUCGCGAAGGCAGCUUACUAAGCCGAUAUUGACGCUCAGGCACGAAAGCGUGGGUAGCGAACAGGAUUAGAUACCCUGGUAGUC
Molecule: ribosomal RNA, 228 nt
Filed under: uncultured bacterium
Lineage: Bacteria
Description: partial 16S ribosomal RNA
Rfam family: Bacterial small subunit ribosomal RNA
Source: RNAcentral